UUUUCAAAAAAUACAGUAUUUAAAUUGAUUUUAACUGUGUUGCAGGAAUAUUAACUGAACUGGAAGUUAGUCAGUGUUUGCUGAAUUUUGUUAUUUGCUAGUAAUUACAGGUGUGGGGGUAGCCACAUUCUUUGAUUUCCUGUCCUUGCCUAUUUAAGUGGUACAGUGUGAAAUAUUUUCUGCU
Long non-coding RNA from Protopterus annectens (West African lungfish), 184 nucleotides. RefSeq lists it as uncharacterized. The transcript is spliced from 2 exons. NCBI's taxonomy places the organism in Eukaryota, Metazoa, Chordata, Ceratodontiformes, Protopteridae. The record is from RefSeq and is a predicted model, not a curated record.